GAUCUCGUCGAUCCCGUCUAAAAUGGAAAUAGGGGACAGAUGCUGCGGCGGAGAGAGGAGAAGAAACGAUUUAUUGUAACGGACAUGAGAAGAAGUAAGGUCGCGCGAAGGGGGAGCGAUUUACUAUAACAGACAUGAGAAGAAGCAAGGUCGUGCGAAGGCGGAGCGAUUUACUGUUUUGCGUGGAGAAGAAGCAAGGUCGUGUGUAUUGGUUUGGUUUGAUUUAGAGGUUUAGAUAGUGAACGGUUCGCUUCGGUUCGGUUUGGUUCGGUUUGGUUCAGAGGUUCAGAGAGAGGUAGUUCAAUAGUUCGGUUCAGAUGUUUAGAGACAACAGUUCGGUUCGUUUCGGUUCAGAGGUUCAGAGAGAGACAGUUCAAGACUAAAUUACAAAUCAUUCUAGAAAAUAAUAAACGGUUAGAAAUUCUAUGUUGAUCAAAAAGGAACAAUUCAUGGCAAAAAGAACUACUAACCUGAAACCCUAGCAAGAAGGAAACGUUUAGAUCUUGUAAAUGUGAGCAUCGAUUUCUAGGGAUAAGAUAAUAAGAUUAUUAUAUAAGAAAGAAAGAUUUGAUCUUAAUAUCUAAAUUUCUUAUCGUUCAGAUUUUGGAAUAAUAACAUCAGAUGAUGGUUUCGAUCUGAAGCAAGGAUGGAUUUUAUAGGCAAAAUUGUAGCAGCGAGGAAGGUAGAAGAAUCGGCCAUGGUAGAGGAAUCGACAGACGGUAGAUUUGAUGAGACACGAUCCAUCUGAAACGGUGGUAGAUUUUAUGAGACACGAUCUCGUCGAUCCCAUCUAAAACGAAAAUAGGGGACGGAUGCUGCGGCAAAGAGAGGAGAAGAAACGAUUUAUUGUAACGGACACGAGAAGAAGCAAGGUCGCGCAGAGGGGGAGCGAUUUACUGUAACAGACAUGAGAAGAAGCAAGGUCGUGCGGAGGCAGAGGGAUUUACUAUUUUUCUUGGAGAAUAAGCAAGGUCGCGUGUAUUGGUUCAGUUUGAUUUAGAGGUUUAGAUAGUGAACGAUUCGCAUCAGUUCAGUUUGGUCCUGUUCGGUUUAGAGGUUCAGAGAGAGGUAGUUCAAUGGUUCGGUUCAGAUGUUUAGAGACAAUGGUUCUAUAGGAAAAAUAGGCAAAAAUGUAGCAGCGAUGAGGGUAGAAGAAUCGGCCAGGGUAGAGGAAUCGGCGGACGGUAGAUUUGAUGAGACACGAUCCAUCUGAAACGGUGGUAGAUUUUAUGAGACACGAUCUCGUCGAUCCCAUCUGAAAUAGAAAUAGGGGACGGAUGCUGCGGCGGAGAGAGGAGAAGAAACGAUUUAUUGUAACGGACAUGAGAAGAAGCAAGGUCGCGCGGAGGGGAAGAGAUUUAUUGUAACGGACAUGAGAAGAAGCAAGGUCGUGCGGAGGCAGAGCGAUUUACUGUUUGGCGUGGAGAAGAAGCAAGGUCGUGUGCAUCGGUUUGGUUUGAUUUAGAGGUUUAGAUAGUGAACGGUUCGCAUCGGUUCGGUUUGGUUCGGUUUGGUUCAGAGGUUCAGAGAGAGGUAAUUCAAUGGUUCGGUUCAGAUGUUUAGAGACAACAGUUCGGUUCGGUUCGGUUCGGUUCGGUUCGGUUCGGUUCAGAGGUUCAGAGAUAGGCAGUUCAAGACUAAAUUACCAAUCAUUCUAGAAAAUAAUAAACGGUUGGAAAUUCUAUAUUGAUCAAAAAGGAACAAUUCAUGGCAAAGAGAACUACUAACCUGAAACCCUUGCAAGAAGGAAACGUCCAGAUCUUGUAAAGGUGGGCGUUGAUUUCAAGGGAUAAGACAAUAAGAUUAUUAUAUAAGAAAGAAAGAUUUGAUCUGAAUACCUAAAUUUCUUAUCGUUCAGAUUUUGGAUUAAUAACAUUAGAUGAUGGUUUCAAUCUAAGGCAAGGAUGGAUUUUAUAGGCAAAAUUGUAGCAGCGAGGAAGGUAGAAGAAUCGGCCAGGGUAGAGGAAUCGGCAGACGGUAGAUUUGAUGAGACACGAUCCAUCUGAAACGGUGGUAGAUUUUAUGAGACACGAUCUCGUCGAUCCCGUCUAAAACGGAAAUAGAGGACGGAUGCUGCGGCGGAGAGAGGAGAAGAAAUGAUUUAUUGUAACGGACGGGAGAAGAAGCAAGGUCGCGCAGAGAGGGAGCAAUUUACUGUAACAGACAUGAGAAGAAGGUCGUGCGGAGGUGGAACGAUUUGCUAUUUUUCGUGGAGAAUAAGCAAGGUCGCGUGUAUUGGUUCAGUUUGAUUUAGAGGUUUAGAUAGUGAACGGUUCGCAUCGGUUCAGUUUGGUCCUGUUCGGUUUAGAGGUUCAGAGAGAGGCAGUUCAAUGGUUCGGUUCAGAUGUUUAGAGACAACGGUUCUAUAGGCAAAAUAGGCAAAAAUGUAGCCGCGAGGAUGGUAGAAGAAUCGGCCAGAGUAUAGGAAUUGGCGGACGGUAGAUUUGAUGAGACACGAUCUAUCUU
Molecule: long non-coding RNA, 2466 nt
Filed under: Ananas comosus (pineapple)
Lineage: Eukaryota; Viridiplantae; Streptophyta; Magnoliopsida; Poales; Bromeliaceae
Description: long non-coding RNA (ACOM_LNC043873)
Source: RNAcentral